GNCCUUCUGGGUCGUAAACGGCUUUUUUCCGGGAAGAACCGGUUCCUUGCGAGGGGCUCUGACGGUACCGGGAGAAUAAGCACCGGCUAACUCCGUGCCAGCAGCCGCGGCAAUACGGAGGGUGCGAGCGUUGUCCGGAUUUAUUGGGUUUAAAGGGUGCGUAGGCGGCCGCGUAAGUCUGGGGUGAAAGCCCGUUGCUCAACAACGGAACUGCCCUGGAAACUGCGUGGCUUGAGUCCAGACGAGGUUGGCGGAAUGGGCGGUGUAGCGGUGAAAUGCAUAGAUACCGUCCAGAACACCGAUUGCGAAGGCAGCUGACUAGGCUGGUACUGACGCUGAGGCACGAAAGCGUGGGGAGCGAACAGGAUUAGAUACCCUGGUAGUCCACGCCGUAAACGAUGGAUACUCGCUGCCAGCGAUAGAUGGUUGGUGGCUUAGCGAAAGCGUUAAGUAUCCCACCUGGGGAGUACGCCCGCAAGGGUGAAACUCAAAGGAAUUGACGGAAUCACUA
This 511-nucleotide ribosomal RNA is filed under the name uncultured bacterium. Its description in RNAcentral is "bacterial SSU rRNA". It matches the Rfam family "Bacterial small subunit ribosomal RNA", at positions 413 to 924 of the family's 1533-position model. The record is from RNAcentral.